UGUGAGAUAGUCCGGUUCAUCUUAGAUUUCCAGUGUCUUUGAGAUUUGAGAAGGAUUGAACUUGUCGUGCACCAUUGUUCGGGAUGUCGUAGCGUGUAUGAUCCGUAUCGUUUUGUUUGGACUUGUUGUACUGUAUGGUGUUGUUGAACUACCAGUAGAAGAGUUUGGUGCUUUAAGUAUCAGCUUCUCUUCUGGCUGCCGCCCUCAUGUUUUGAGCUCCAUGGAAGUUCAGUCCUGGUUAUUUUUAGGGGUGGCAACACAUUAUUCCUAACUUGUAGGGAUAUGCACAGUUUUUCAUUUUUGCACAGUUUUUCUUGGGUUUUCUUGUUUGCCUUUUCUUUUCGGCUUUUAGUUUCUUUCUUUAGUUUUCUUUGUUAGUUUCAACGGUUUCUUUGUUUUUCUUUGUAUCCUUCUUGGUUUUCACUCUUUUGCAUUGGUUUUCUUUGUUUUUUUACUUCUUACAGGGUUUCUUUGUUUUUCUUUGUUUCUAUGUCGAUUUCAUCGGUUUUCUUUUUGUAAUACACAUGUCAACUUUUUUCAGUACACAUUAUAUAUUUUCCAUAUUCGUCAGAAACAUAUUUUAUAUACAUGUUUAACAUUUUUUGAAAAACAAUUUAUUAUUUCUAAUUUUGUCUAUGCACAUUGUAUAUUUUUGGUAUAUAUGUAAUACAAUUUUAUAUACACAUUUUACAUUUAAAAAUACAGGAUUAUCAUUUUUUCAAUACAUGGUUAAAAAAUUCAAAAGACAGAAAAUAUUUUUUCAAUGGCAAAAAAUAUUUUUUCGCAUACAAUGUACAUUUUUGUACUCACCAGGAGCAUUUUUAUACACAGUUAAUUUUUUUAAAUACAUUAUAAACAAUUUUUCAUGCACAUUGUUUUUUUAUAUAUUUGUCGUGUACAUGACAAACAUUAUUUCAAUAAACAUUUAACAUUUUUCAAAUGUUUGAUGAUUUUUUUAAGUGAUUAAUUAACAUUUUUUUAAAUACAUGAUUAACCUUUUCCAUACACAUUGUAGUUUUUUGCAUACAUUUUCCUUAUACAUGAGAAAAUUUUCUCCAUUCACAUUAAAUUUUCCAAAUGCUUUGUUAAGAUUUUUUCAAAUGUUUUAUGUAAUGUUUAUUGUAUUAUAAAUAUUUACAAUAUUUGGAAUUAUAAAAAAACUACAAUAGAAAGCAAUAAAUAAAUAAAUAAUGUUUUAUGUAAUGUUUUAUUUAGUGGAUGAGCUCAGUUCUUACAUGGGUCUCACAUCUCCUUCUCUGUUAAAAAUAAGUAGGGGCUUCUUCCCCCUACCGGUCUAGUUAUUUUAAUAAAUAAAUAAGCAGGAGCAAAAUAGAGAAAAAAAAAACGAGGCAGUGGCCUGUGGCCACCCUCACUGGGCCGGGCCAUUUAAGGAGCCGCUUGCCGUGAGCGCAACUUAGGUGUCGCUAUAAGCCAAACAUUUUUUUAGUCUAAACAUACUUUGCUCUUUUAAGUAAUCAAGUGAUACAAUGUAAGUCCGGAGGAUUUAUGAGCCAAACAUGGCGCCCGACAUCCAAACCAAAAGCAAGUUUAGCGAGACUAUGUGCCUCGAAGUUUGACUCUCUCCCUUCGAAGAUGAAGGUUCAUUAUUGAAAAUUCUUCGAUCUUUCCAAAAUCUCCUUGAUGAUGUUUGUAUAAACGCCUCCAGUGUUGUUCUUGAUGUCAUGAACUACACCUUGGCAGUCUGAUGCCACUAGCACAUGUGAUAGCGCAAGAUCUGUAGACAUGGCGCACCCCAUAGGAGUGGCUUCGCUGAAGCCUACGCGAAUGGGCUAGCCAACUUUGGGCACAAACUGUUUGUUUAUAUUUUCCUCUUCGUUUUUGUCUUCGGUUUUUCACUGAAAAAAUAGCUAUUAUUUUAUAGAAAUAUUUUUGUAACCUAUUAAAAAUACAAAAUUAUAUUUUAAAAAUUAUUUGGUAUAUGUUUUAUGAAAGUUCUGCGUAUAUUAAAAAAUCACCAUUUAUUCAGAAAAUAUUUGCUGUGUAUUAAAAAAUGCUCAUUAUAUAUUAAAAAAUUAAUUGAUAUAAAGUAAAUAUUCAUCAUGUAUAAAAAAAGUUCAGUGUGUGUUUUGAAAAAUGUUCACUUAAUACUAAAAAAAGUUAUUGUCUAUUUGAAAAACUCACCGUAUGCUGAACACAAGUGCAUUUGAAAUUUUUUCACCGUAUAGUACAAACCUAUAAAAUUAGAAAAAAUUGAAAACCCGAAAUAACAGUGAACCCAAGAUCUCCAAAAGAAAAAAAACGGAAAGAGAAGAGAAAAAAAACAAAGUAAAAAAUGAAACAGAAACAGCUAGGUAAGUGGGCCGGUCCAUCUAGAGGUUUUCUUCAGUGAAGGCUCCCCUGUAUGAUGCACACGGGUGGUGAGCGCCGCUUUGCAUCCCUACUAGCUUAUUUUCUUAGAAUUAUUGGAUUAUCGCAUAACAAGGAGAGAGAGGAAUGCAUGAAUAAUGUUGUACGUCUAGUAUUUAUGGUUACUUUAGAUUUGUGGUUAGUUUUGAAUAACACAUAAUAACUUACAUCUCUUUGCCCCAAUAUAUUUCCAAAUUCACUAUCAUUUUAUUGUAAAAAUGGGUAGGCGCGACAACCCGCGCCAUCAUCGUCUAAUAAAUAAUCUAAACCAAAACAAUUGAUUCAGCCAUUGAAUAAAUCUACCGAACAUUGGUCAACCACCCCAUUACUCUUAUCAGAGGAGGAUCUAACUAACUUAAAGUCUCCUCCGAUCAAAGUAUGGCUAAACCAGUAGUUCAUCACAUUAUGUAGUCCCUUGACAAAAUCUAGUUCAUGUUCCUCAUAUGUGGGAGACAUGAAUAUAAAUGAACCUCUUGUCAGCUUUGCCAUCUCUUAGAUUUAUUGGAUUAUUUUAUCUUAACAAGCAGACUGCAUAUCAAGAACAUAAAACAGAAAUCAAACUUUAUUCAACUGCGCAAUUAAGCGGAAUUAUGAAAUUGAAAAAAUUGAGGAAAGCUAGCAGCAUCUCUUUGGGAUGGUGAGGUGGCCGGCCAUGUGCCAGCCCUCUCCUCCGUCAGGGUACAUGUAAGGGCACGCCGGCCUGAAUGGGGUGCUGCCCUUGGCGGCGAGCAUGUUCCACUGCUCAUUGGGGUCGUCGGUGGCGAACUUGGUCCACGUCGGAGUGGAGUACUCGUAGCGACUGUGCGUGAUGCGGUGGAACUCCUGGAUGUCCUUGUUCUUGGUGAUGUCAUCAGUGUCGCGGAGGUCGACCGAAAGGAUGUCGCCGUAGGGCCUAACGGAGUGCAGGAAGACGGGCAUCGAGAUCGGCUCGUUGGAGACGGCGGCGAGGUCGGAGGCGAAGACAAUGCUCCUCAUGUCGGGGCUGAAAAUAGGGUGGUUAACGUGUCCCGCGAGGGUAGCCGAGCUCUGCACCACGCGCACCACCACCGUGGGGUCGCUGACCUUCACCAGGUACACGGCGAAGUAGCCCGCGUCGAGGAAGGCCAUCUCCGGCGCGCUGGCCGGCAUCUCGCGCGUGGAGGAGAAGACGACCCAGUCCCCCUUGGGCGACCAGCUGCAGUGGGUGUCGGUCCACGGCCCGUCGGUGAGCCGUGUCACCGUGCCCUGGCCGAACUCCCCCUCCUCCGCGUCCUCCAUGAUGUAGAGGUUCUUGUGGAACUUCUCUUUGCCGCCGUCCCUCGUGGACCGAAACACAAACUUGUCCCCCUGCGCGUUGCUCGACGGGAAGGCGUUGUUGAAGUUCCCGGCGGUGAGGCGCUGCACCUUCCGGCCGGCGGACGGCCCGGACACGUUGGAGAUGGCGUAGAUCUCCAAUGGCUUGGCGGCGGAGAAGGACGGGCCCACGCAGACGUACAACGUGUCCUUGUCCGGGUUCUGGUUCCACGCCGUUGAGAAGACGCUGUUGGAGCCCCGCUUCUGCAAGUUUUUGUUGGGUGAGAAUUGGUAUUGAUUCUUUCUACUUCUUGAGGGACAAUGGUGGAUAGAUAGAUACGAUACCUCAUAGACGACGCGCAGGCCUUGGGUGUCGGCAAGCCACACGGCCUUGAACUCGUUGUCGACGAAGGCGAGCUUGGCGCCAUCCUUGGAAAUGGUUGGGAACACACCCGACACCCGGAACAGCCCCACAUCUGUGUGAGGGGAGUGCAUCUUGUCGAAGCUCUUGUUAGGGGCAGAAAGAUUAUUCUGCAUCCAUGUCAUGCCAUGUUCAUCGGUAAGUAAUCAUGAUGAUCGAUUGUUUAAAUAUAAUACUCCCUCUGUUCACUUACAUAAGACGUUUUAGCAAAUUCAGACAGUGUACUAAACAGUUCAAACCCAGCUGUCUGAAACGCCUUAUAAAAGCGAAUGGAGGGAGUAGUAUUAUUAUCCAACACUUGUCAUAAUUUUAUCUUGUAUGUGCAUAUAUACAUAUAAUUAUGAUUAAUCAAAUAAGAUAAAAGGUAGCGAAAUAUGUCUAAUUCUAUAGGCAUAAAUAGUUGAUGCUCACUACUUCUAUUUCUUUCAGCAUAUACACACACAUGCCACCUCACAUCCCACUAAUUAUAUUUCUCUCACCAUAUAUGAGAAAUGCUAUUUAUUUUGUUUCUCAAUAUGCAUAUAUCGCAACUCACCACACAUGUCAUCUUAUCAAUCUCACUACAUAUUUUUUUGCGGGGUAAUCCCUGCUUAUAUUUCUCUCUACAUGCAUGAGAAAUACUCCUACUAACAACCAUAUGAUGAUUAAAUAUAAUAAAUCAUGUGUAUUUCCAUUUUCUAUUUUCGUAUCCAAAUCUCAUCAAUAUAUGUUGCAACAAAUUUUCAUAGCAACACGCGGGGCAUCAUUUAUUUAUCUGUCUCAGCUACAUUUCUAAGUGUUCGGAUCAACAUCCAACCAUCCAGAUAUAAAAUCACUAUAUUAAAAUUAACAUGAAAACCAAAAGUUGCACAAAAUGUUUAACUGAAGUUGCACGCUUGAGAGUGUGUAAUUUUAGUUGGUUGAAAUUUAUAAGUAAAUUGAGAAUUAGCAAAAGGGAAGACAUGCGUACCCCAAUGACGAGAUCGUCGGUUCUGACCCGAUGGUAGCCGAUGCGGCUGCCGCCGUCGGCCACGAAAGGGUUGUAGUGGUCGCCUUUCGGCCUGAUCUUCUGGCUGAUCUGCACGGCGGGGCGGUCCGGCGACGCGACGUCGAAGAUCUCGAUGUGGCGGUACUGCGCCUCCUCUCGCGGCGUGGUCAUGGCGGCCUGCCUAGACUUCUGGCGGAUGGCGGCCACGGCGACCCUGGUCUCGCUGAUGGCCGCGGGGGUCAUGGCGUCGAUGGCCUCGGGCGUCACCCGGACGGUCUCCUUGGUGGCCAUGUCGUAGCGGAACACGGCCCAGUUCGUCGGGGACUCGCCGGUCCCUCGGUGGAAGAAGAUGACGUUGUCGCUGCCCCACGUCGGCCACCCGCCGUCCCGGAUGAGGAUCCUGCGGCGCAGGCCGCCCUGCGCCGUCCUGUCCACGUUCAUGACGGCGAUGUCGGUGUUGAGGCGCUCGAUCUCGCCCGUCCACUUGUUCCCGCGGAAGUUGGCCACGGCCACCAUCUUGCCGGAGGGCGACACGGCCGGGCUGACGUCGUACUGGCCUGGCGGGGUGAGGCGCUCGGUCUUGCCGUCGGCGAGGUUGGUCCGGUACACCACGGUCCAGGGCGUGCGGCGCCUCGUCACCGGCUCCUUGGUGGAGACGUAGACGAGGGAGUGGCCGACGGCGCGAGCGCCCACCUUGAAGCCGCCGGCGACGCAGCCGCUGUCCUCCAUCCGCGAGCCGCCGAAGGUGCCGGCGCCAUAGACGUCGCCCAGGCUCAGCACCUUCACCGCACCACCUUCGCCUUUGGGGCGCACAAGGGCCACGUGCAGCGUCUCGAGCCCCUUGUCCCUCUCGGAGACGAAGACGAGGCCGGCGACGCGGCCCUGCUCGGCGUCGUCCGGCGUGGCGCCGCACUCGGCGGCGAGCGCGGGGUUCUUCUUGCCAAGGAACGUGAGGAGCUCCUUGAGCGCGGCCGCCGGGAUGGCCCGGCCGUUCUGGUUGUAGGACACGCCGUCGGUGAGGUGGUGCUCGUCCUCCCGCGAGGACGGCGGCGGGUCGGCCGGGCAGGAGUAGAUGUCCAGUGGCACUGGCGGGCGGUAGGUGCCGAAGAAGGCGAUGCUGCCACGGCCGCUGUCGUCGCUCCCCAUGGCCGGCCGGCGCGGAGUCGAUCGAGCAAGAAUGAAACGAGUUUCUGUUGGUUUGCUCACGCCGGAAGCUGCUUGAUUUAUAAUGACACGCAAGCAGGACUUCAAUACCUUAAAUUAAAAAAAGAACUUAUAGCUGCUGAUAAUAUUUUUUUUUGCACAUAAGCUGAUAAUAAUUUCUAUCCGGUUAUUUUAUAGUACGUACUAAUCAAUGACUAAUGUGUGGUGUGGAUUUUUGGAACCUGGGUGUAGGCGCACCUGAUUAACCAAAAAGAAAUGAAAAAAAAAGUAAAAGAAAUCAAAAGAAAAUGUGAAACUUGUUCGGAACAAGCAUUGUCUAGUGUAUUACUCAAGUGAAAAGUUUCGGGAUAAAAUGAUUUCUAUGGUAGUGUUGGCAAAAAAGUGCCGCACCGCACAUUAGUCAUUGUCUAGUGUAUUACUCAUGUGUAAAAUUUUGGGACAAAAUGGCUUCUGCAUUUUGUUGGCAAAAAAAUUUAAAAAUUGCAAGUAUAAACUGUGUGUAUACCAAGUUUAAUAUACUGCCAGUUUUGUUUUUAUUCGUUCAGAAUGCCACGGAAGUCAUUUUGUCGCGAAACUUUACAUGUGAGUAAACCACUAGACAAUGCUUGUUCGGAACAAUUUUCAAUUUUUUUAAUCAUUUUUUUGAUUUUUAUUUCAAUUUGGGUGCAUCUAGUCCGAGGUUCCGUUGUGUAUUUUCAAUGACUAAUGCCUCAUUAUUAAUCCACUGAUGAGUAAACUAAUAAGUCCCUUGAGUGGUACAUAUAGAGUAAAUGAUUGGUGUUGAUUGUAGUUUGCAUUUAGUCAUAAUUGAAGCCACAAAGUUUCAGUUUUUUUGAUUUUAUUUGCAACUUCUUUUUACUGUUCAUUGUGAAUACAAUGCAGCCAGUUUUCGAAAAACCACACUAUCGCAAACAGUAAUAUCUCUUGUGCUAUCUUAAAACUGUUAUGAUAAGUAGAUGUGAGUAAACCAUCUUAAGAGUUCUGUCUAGAAAGUCUUUAGUUUAGUGGCUGUUUGGGAGAGCUGUGUUCCCGGUCCCAGGGCUGAUGCUUGAUGUGGUUUUGCCUUUUUGCUCUUCUCCUUUUGUGGGUUGCUUGUAAAAAUUGGCGGUUCUAUAAUGAAAACCAUCCAGCGACCUUAGAUUUUGAAAGCCUCACAGUUCUUUUUCUCUCUCACUUCAUUCUCUAGGUUAUGAAAGGUUUUUUGGUGAUAUCGAGGAAUAAAAAAUGCAUGAAUUUCGCAGGAAGAAAAAUGCCUAAAAUUGCCAUUGCAAAACAAUAAAUAGAAGAAAGGCAAAAACCACAUAAAUUUGCAAGGCCAAAAUGUAAACAUUUCCAUGGACCCCCCCCCCCCACUACUAGGGAAAAGCCUAGCAGCAGCGCGGGUUUUAGGCCUAUCAGUAGCGCGGGAAGGAGCGCUACUGAUAAGGCGCUACAGCUAAACCUUAGCAAUAGCGCGCCUAGAUCCACGCUACUACUAAAUUGACUUAGUAGUAGCGGUUCUUCGGAACCGUGCUACUGGUAAUUAGUAGUAGCGCUUCUCCUUUCCCGCGCUACUACUAUUAUUUAGUAUUUUAUUUCUUUUUUAUUUCAUGUUGUAUUCAUACACCUUUACACAAGUUUUCAUACAACAGGAAUUUAGAGAUUGUUUUUACAUCAUAAUGAGUUAUUACAUUGCGGGGUGAAAGAACCGUCGACUAGUUUCAAGUGGAUGUCCAUCCACUAGAAACUAAUCCAUGGUUCUUUCACCCAAUGAUAUAAUAAUAUCAUCAUCAUCAUCAUCAUAUCAUUAACAACUUAUCAUCAUAAUACAUCAUUGUCAUAUAACACCUCCUCAAGAUCAUCGUUUUCAUCAAUGACAUCACAUAGCAAAUUGGUCACUAGUCGUAAUCACAAGUACUCCUCAUUAUCAACUCUAACACAUUACCACAUAAUAAACAUAUUAUACCUCAUAGGACCUACUACAUUCGAUUAAGACCUACUACAUUUUCUAAGGUAAAAUAGCAAAAAACAAGAUAGCCCCUGACUCUCCAUUAUGGAGAAUGGAGAUUAGCCUGUCUCCAAUUCUUGCCUUUCGCUGAAUGUUACUUCCAAGAACCUCCUUGCGAAUGUCCAUACAUUUCUUCCAUUCUUUGAUGAUCAUGUGUUCACCGGUUUUAGAAAUCCGAUAUGCACAGGUGAGCUCCCUAGAUUUACCUGGCAGUAUGUUCAGAACCGAGAGGCGACCAUUCAGAGACAUCAGAUGAGGCACACAAUCCAUCGGGAGUUUCUGUUGAAAAACAUAAUAAUAAAUUCGUAGUUAGCAAUGAUGUACUAGUUUUAGAAGUAUGCAAAAGAUGCACGGAUGUCGUAAUAGUAAAAAAUCUUACCAGGGUAUCUCCAGAGAAGUUACCGUGGUUCAACACAUGCACUAGUGGCACGUAUUCACCAUAAUUUGGAGGAGUUCGAUAAUAGUUAUUGUAAUUCUCAAGAAGAGUACAAAAUGUGAUCAGAUGAUUUUUCUCCUUAUACGUUAAUUCGGUGCCAUCGGUGUAGUCGGUUUUAUCUACCAUCUUCCGCACAGUCUUUGAAGAAUCAAAAUAAGCUGUCAAUGGAAAUAAGCUAUCAACUAUUUUGAAAUAAACAAUAUAAAUUAGUUAAUAACUAUGUUUGAGAAACUCACAUAGCGGUACAACCGGAAGCGUAUCUACAAGGACCCAAAUGUCCAUAUUGUCUUGCUCGAUGUCAGGAUCACCAAGAUCCAUGGUGACAAUCAUAACCUCAUAAAAACCAUACAUUUUGCAAAGUGCUUCCCAAUUUUGGCAACCAAAAUGGGUUACGCUCUGAGCAUUGCACAGAUUUACUUUAAAUCCAUAUCAUGAUGGAUCCUUAGGUGUAUAUUCUUUGUUUCAAAAUUUUCAUGGUCUUCAAAACCCAUCCUCUCCAAGACAAAGCGUCUUGCAUGGCAUGGAAUAAGCUAGUCGAAUUGUAAAAUAUGAAAAUUAGACGUUGAAAUAGUUGAAGUCAUGCUUAAUUACGAAAAAACACUUGUCAUUGUUGCGUACCGUUUUAACAUCGAAGGUCUCCUCGAGCUUAAUGCUGAAGCGCCGAUCUUCGUCCAGCUCAACGAACCUGUCGCACAUACCUCGAUCGUCGUGGCACCAGCUGCACUCCCCCGGGAGACUGUCGUCGUCCGAGUACGACAUUUCCUACGUUCAUAAUUCAAAGAUUAAACUUGUACAUAUUCUAGCACAAGUCAUGCCAGAAUUCACGAAAAAAAUCCGGCAUGACCUUUGCUAAAAAAGGACAUAUCGAGCGCCUAAAAUUUGCCGGAACGAAAAUUAAUCAACACUCCGGCAAAACAUAGGCCACUCGGAGAUGUAAAAUGAACAUGAACGGCCACUUGGGCAACCACAUAUCCUAUUUGAGCAACAACACAAGAUAUACAAGGAUAUUUGGCUGGUCUCACCUCGAUGUCGGAGGGGGUCGGUGACUGGGAUGACGGCGGGGAUGUCGGAGGGGGUCGGUGACGGGGACGACGAUGGUCACCUGAAACCGUAUAAGUUAUCACUAAUACAUCCCGAAUAAUUGCUUAAACUAAAAAAAUAACAACAAAUAUGACAUGUUCAACUAGUUUUAUUAAUUCAACUAGCUCUUACUAAAUAUAAACUUACUAUAAAUAGAAAAAAAACUAGUUCUUUCUAAAAAUAAAGUAGUUCAACUAGUUAUAUUAAUUAUCUUACUAAAAAUACGUUAGUUCUAUUAAUUCAACUAGUUUAUUAAUUUACUUGGUAAACUAGUUCAACUACAACUAAAGUAGUUCAACUACAACUACUAUUAAUCAUACUGCCCUAGUUAACUAGUACCAUCACUACUAGUAAUUAACAUCUACUACUAAAAAUCUAGUACUAAUGUCAACCCUAAAUUAACACCUACUACUACUAAAAAUCUAGUACUAACUAAGAAACAUCUAGUACUAGCUAUGAACCCUAAAUUAACAUCUACUACUACUAAAUCUAGUACUAACUAGUGGCAGGGGGUGGGGGGCGACGGAGAGGUAGCUAGGGGCGGCGAGGGCGGGAUCGGGAUCGGGAGGUGNNNNNNNNNNNNNNNNNNNNNNNNNNNNNNNNNNNNNNNNNNNNNNNNNNNNNNNNNNNNNNNNNNNNNNNNNNNNNNNNNNNNNNNNNNNNNNNNNNNNNNNNNNNNNNNNNNNNNNNNNNNNNNNNNNNNNNNNNNNNNNNNNNNNNNNNNNNNNNNNNNNNNNNNNNNNNNNNNNNNNNNNNNNNNNNNNNNNNNNNNNNNNNNNNNNNNNNNNNNNNNNNNNNNNNNNNNNNNNNNNNNNNNNNNNNNNNNNNNNNNNNNNNNNNNNNNNNNNNNNNNNNNNNNNNNNNNNNNNNNNNNNNNNNNNNNNNNNNNNNNNNNNNNNNNNNNNNNNNNNNNNNNNNNNNNNNNNNNNNNNNNNNNNNNNNNNNNNNNNNNNNNNNNNNNNNNNNNNNNNNNNNNNNNNNNNNNNNNNNNNNNNNNNNNNNNNNNNNNNNNNNNNNNNNNNNNNNNNNNNNNNNNNNNNNNNNNNNNNNNNNNNNNNNNNNNNNNNNNNNNNNNNNNNNNNNNNNNNNNNNNNNNNNNNNNNNNNNNNNNNNNNNNNNNNNNNNNNNNNNNNNNNNNNNNNNNNNNNNNNNNNNNNNNNNNNNNNNNNNNNNNNNNNNNNNNNNNNNNNGCAAUUAGAGCAGUAGCGCGUUUUACGGUGGACGCGCUACUGCUAUUUUCCUUUCAGCAGCGCGUUUUGCUAUCACGCGCUACUGCUAAGUAGCAGUAGCGUUGUAUUUUGAGCAGCGCUGCUGGUAAGUUUCUGUGUAUAGGCUUUUCCCUAGUAGUGCCCCCUCCCCCUAAAUUGCUAUCUCAAACAAUCUUAAUAAAAAUUUAUAAAUUUGCCAGGACAAAAAAAUGUUGUCAUCAUGUUUUUCGAAGAGUUGCCCUCACUACCCCAUAUUUCCAUUCUGAACAGUAAAACAAAAUUGCCACACCCCUAGAUGAGUAUACCAUGUGCAAAUGUGUGUGAAAAAAUGUGGAGUGGCUACCAUGGGUAUUGCAAUGGCGCAAAAAGACCACAAGUUUUCAAAAAGAUUUCAUACACACAAAAAAAAAGAAAAGGUUGCCAUGAUCUUUAAAAAGUGCCAGCGGCAGAUAGUUGCGAGUUGUUGAUAAUAAAUUUGCCAUGAUGUAUGUAACACAAAAAAGAAAAGGUUGCCAUGAUAUUUAAAAAGAACUAGGGGCGGGGGGCAUGUUGUGGAUAGUAAAUUUGCCAUGUCCUAGAUAGUAAAUUUGCCAUGAUGUAUGUAAUACAGAAAAAAAGUUGUCAUGAUCUGUAAAAAGAACUGGAGCGAGAUAGUUGCCAUGUUGUAGACAACAAAAUUUGCCACAUAUCUAGGAUUUGUAUAAAAUAUGCCAUAUAUCUAGGAUUUGAAUAUAGAUAACACAAAAGAAAGGUUGCCAUGAUUUAUGGAGAAAAAAAUCCUAAAAUUUGGCAUGUGACUAGUAUAUUUUUUUUAACAAUUGCCAUGAUUUUUUUGUAAGAAAUGCCAUGAUGUUUGUGCUUUUCCUAAUGUAUGAAUAAUUGCAUUCCAUGACAAGAAAAUUUGGCAUGAUGUAAAAAAAGAUUUGACGGACACAAGAAAUAUCAAAAAUUGACAAGAUUUUAGAAAACAAAUUCCUGAAUAUUUUAGCCAUGUAACCAUUAGACAUUUGCAAAAAGAUACCAUGUAUGAGAACAAAAUUCCAAAAAAUUCCAUGACACUGUUACAUAUUUGCAAAAAACUUACUAUGUACAAUAGAACGAAAGUUCCUAGACUUUCCAUGUGGCCAUCAUAAACAACUAUAAAAUAUCUCUUCUUUGUUUCCUUGGAGUGCAGGUACUUUUCACCAAUAUUUUCGCCACUGUAAGGGCUUCUUUGUGUUUCUCCGAGAAAUUUGGGAUCCUUCACUAUUUUGGCAGUGUUUUGUGGAAAAAGGGCCACCACCCUCAUUUUGGGUCGUAUAAGGCCCGGGGGCACAAUGAGAGCUGGGGUUGUAGAAAAACAUUGUAAGUUUAACCUAUAGGAAAAUAUCAGCAACCACAAUACCAAAUCAAUAUCUAUGAUGAAUACAUUUUCAUAAUGUAUUUAAUGGUACUAUAUAGACUGGUAUUUUCUGGGACACCUGGUAUUUUAACAGUUUUGACUUGAGACUAGAUGAAUAUGCCUUGUAAUCCAGAAUGAAGGGCAUAGUUGUUGUAGUAUUUAGUUUGGCCAGCCAAUUUUGAUAAAGAUAGUGUUGGGGAACAUAGCAGAAAUUCAAAAUUUUCCUACGUGUCACCAAGAUCUAUCUAUGGAGAGACUAGCAACGAGGGGAAGGAGAGUGCAUCUACAUACCCUUGUAGAUCGCUAAGCGGAAGCGUUCAAGUGAACGGGGUUGAUGGAGUCGUACUCGUCGUGAUUCAGAUCACCGAUGAUCCUAGUGCCGAACGGACGGCACCUCCGCGUUCAACACACGUACGGAACGGAGACGUCUCCCACGCCUUGAUCCAGCAAGGAGGAGGGAGAGGUUGAUGGAGAUCCAGCAGCACGACGGCGUGGUGGAAGUAGCGGGAUUCCAACAGGGCUUCGCUAAGCGCUGCGGGAGGAGGGAGAUGUAUCACGGGAGGGAGAGGGAGGCGCCAGGCCUUAGGUCUGAUUGCUCCUCCUUUUCCCCACUAUAUAUAGGGCCAAGGGAGAGGGGAAGGGCGCAGCCUUGCCCCUUCCUCCAAGGAAGGGUGCGGCCAAGGGUGGGGAGGAGUCCAUCCUCCCCAAGGCACCUCGGAGGUGCCUUCCCCCUUUAGGACUCUCCCCUCUUUUUCCUCUCUUGGCGCAUGUGCCUCUUGGGGCUGGUGCCCUUGGCCCAUGUAGGCCAAGGCGCACCCCCUACAGCCCAUGUGGCCCCCCGGGGCAGGUGGCCCCACCCGGUGGGCCCCCGGGACCCUUCUGUGGUCCCGGUACAAUACCGAUGACCCCGAAACUUGUCCCGAUGGCCGAAACAGGACUUCCUAUAUAUAAAUCUUUACCUCCGGACCAUUCCGGAACUCCUCGUGACGUCCGGGAUCUCAUCCGGGACUCCGAACAACUUUCGGGUUACCGCAUACUAAUAUCUCUAUAACCCUAGCGUCACCGAACCUUAAGUGUGUAGACCCUACGGGUUCGGGAGACAUGUAGACAUGACCGAGACGUUCUCCGGUCAAUAACCAACAGCGGGAUCUGGAUACCCAUGUUGGCUCCCACAUGUUCCACGAUGAUCUCAUCGGAUGAACCACGAUGUCAAGGACUCAAUCAAUCCCGUAUACAAUUCCCUUUGUCUAGCGGUAUGGUACUUGCCCGAGAUUCGAUCGUCGGUAUACCGAUACCUUGUUCAAUCUCGUUACCGGCAAGUCUCUUUACUCGUUCCGUAACACAUCAUCCCGUGAUCAACCCCUUGGUCACAUUGUGCACAUUAUGAUGAUGUCCUACCGAGUGGGCCCAGAGAUACCUCUCCGUUUACACGGAGUGACAAAAUCCCAAUCUCGAUUCGUGCCAACCCAACAGACACUUUCAGAGAUACCCGUAGUGUACCUUUAUAGCCACCCAGUUACGUUGUGACGUUUGGCACACCCAAAGCACUCCUACGGUAUCCGGGAGUUGCACAAUCUCAUGGUCUAAGGAAAUGAUACUUGACAUUAGAAAAGCUUUAGCAUACGAACUACAUGAUAUUGUGCUAGGCUUAGGAUUGGGUCUUGUCCAUCACAUCAUUCUCCUAAUGAUGUGAUCCCGUUAUCAACGACAUCCAAUGUCCAUGGUCAGGAAACCGUAACCAUCUAUUGAUUAACGAGCUAGUCAACUAGAGGCUUACUAGGGACAUGGUGUUGUCUAUGUAUCCACACAUGUAUCUGAGUUUCCUAUCAAUACAAUUCUAGCAUGGAUAAUAAACGAUUAUCAUGAACAAGGAAAUAUAAUAAUAAUCAAUUUAUUAUUGCCUCUAGGGCAUAUUUCCAACAGUCUCCCACUUGCACUAGAGUCAAUAAUCUAGUUCACAUCGAUAUGUGAUUAACACUCAAGGUCACAUCACCAUGUGACUAACACCCAAAGAGUUUACUAGAGUCAAUAAUCUAGUUCACAUUUACCAUGUGAUUAACACUCGAUGAGUUCUGGGUUUGAUCAUGUUAUGCUUGUGAGAGAGGUUAUAGUCAACGGGUCUGAACCUUUCAGAUCCGUGUGUGCUUUACAAAUCUCUAUGUCAUCUCCUAGAUGCAGCUACCACGUUCUAUUUGGAGCUAUUCCAAAUAACUGUUCUACUUGGAGCUAUUCUAAAUUGUUGCUCCAUUAUACGUAUCCGGUAUCUCUACUCAGAGCUAUCCGGAUAGGUGUUAAGCUUGCAUCGACGUAACCCUUUACGACGAACUCUUUUACCACCUCCAUAAUUGAGAAAAUUCCUUAGUCCACUAGUUACUAAGGAUAACUUUGACCACUGUCCUGUGAUCCAUUCUUGGAUCACUCUUGUACCCCUUGACUGACUCAUGGUAAAGCACACUUCAGGUGCAGUACACAGCAUAGCAUACUAUAGAGCCUAUGUCUUAAGCAUAGGGGACGACCUUCGUUCCUUUCUCUCUAUUCUGCCAUGGUCGAGCUUUAAGUCUUAACUUCAUACCUUACAACUCAGGCAAGAACUCCUUUGACUGAUCCAUCUUGAACACCUUCAAGAUCACGUCAAGGCAUGUGCUCAUUUGGAAGUACUAUUAAGCGUUUUGAUCUAUCCUUAUAGAUCUUGAUGCUCAAUGUUCAAGUAGCUUAAUCCAGGUUUUCCAUUGAAAACACUUUCCAAAUAACCCUAUAUGCUUUCCAGAAAUUCUACGCCAUUUCUGAUCAUUAAUAUGUCAACAACAUAUACUCAUCAGAAAUUCUAUAGUGCUCCCACUCACUUCUUUGGAAAUACAAGUUUCUCAUAAACUUUGUAUACACCCAAAAUCUUUGAUCAUCAUCAAAGCAUACAUUCCAACUCCGAGAUGCUCACUCCAGUCCUCAGAAGGAUUGCUGGAGCUUUGCAUACUUAUUAGCAUAUUUCAGGAUAGACAAAACCUUCCGGUUGUAUCAUAUACAACCUUUCCUCAAGAAUCGUCGAGGAAACAAUGUUUUGACAUCCUAUCUGCAAGAUUUCAUAAAUAAUGCAGCAAUUGCUAAUAUAAUUCCAACAGACUCUUAGCAUCGCUACGAGUGAGAAAGUCUCAUCGUAGUCAACUCCUUGAACUUGUCGAAAAACAUCUUAACGACAAGUCGAGCUUUCUCAAUGGUGACACUUACCAUCAUUGUCUGUCUUCCUUUCAAAAUCCAUAUGUACCUAACAGCCUUACGACCAUCAAGUAGUUCUUCCAAAGUCUACACUUUGUUUUCAUAUAUGGAUCCUCUCUCGGAUUACAUGGCCUCGAGCCAUUUAUCGGAAUCCGGGCCCACCAUCGCUUCUCCAUAGCUCGUAGGUUCAUUGUUGUCUAGCAACAUGACUUCCAAGACAGGAUUACGUACCACUCUAAAGUAGUACGCAUCCUUGUCAUCCCACGAGGUUUGGUAGUGACUCGAUCCGAAGUUUCAUGAUCACUAUCAUAAGCUUCCACUUCAGUUGGUGUACGUGCCACAGGAACAACUUCCUGUGCCCUGCUACACACUUGUUGAAGUGACGGUUCAAUAACCUCAUCAAGUCUCCACCAUCCUCCUACUCAACUUUUCGAGAGAAACCUUUCCUCGAAAAAGGACCCGAUUCAAGAAACAAUCCCUAUUGCUUUCGGAUCUGAAUUAGGAGGUAUACCCAACUGUUUUUGGGUGUCCUAUGAAGAUGCAUUUUAUCUGCUUUGGGUUCGAGCUUAUCAACCUGAAACCUUUUCACAUAAGCGUCGCAGCCCCAAACUUUCAAGAAACGGCAACUUAGGUUUCUCCAAACCAUAGUUCAUACGGUGUCGUCUCAACGAAAUUAUGUGGUGCCCUAUUUAAAGUGAAUGUGGUUGUCUCUAAUGCCUAACCCAUGAACGAUAGUGGUAACUCGAUAAGAGACAUCAUGGUAUGCACCAUAUCCAAUAGGGUGCAACUAUGACGUUUGGACACACGAUCACACUAUGGUGUUCCAGGCUGUAUCAGUUGUGAAACAAUUUCCACAAUGUCUUAAUUCUGUGCCAAACUCGUGAUUCAGAUAUUCAUCUCUAUGAUCAUAUCAUAGAUCUUUUAUCCUCUUGUCACGACGAUCUUUCAACUUCACACUGAAAUUACUUGAACCUUUCAAUAAUUCAGACUCGUGAUUCAUCAAGUAAAUAUACUCAACAUCUACUUGAAUCAUCUGUGAAGUAAGAACAUAACGAUAUUCACUGCAUGCCUCAGCACUCAUUGGACUGCACACAUCAAAAUGUGUUACUUCCAACAAGUUGAUAUCUUGUUCCAUCUUACUGAAAACGAGGCUUUUCAGUCAUCUUGCCCAUGUGGUAUGAUUUGCAUGUCCCAAGUGAUUCAAAAUCAAGUGAGUCAAAACGGUCCAUUUGCAUGGAGUUUCUUCAUGCAUAUACACCAAUAGACAUGGUUCGCAUGUCUCAAACUUUUCAAAAACGAGUGAGCCCAAAGAUCCAUCAAUAUGGAGCUUCUUCAUGCGUUUUAUACCGAUAUGACUUACGUGGCAGUGCCACAAGUAGGUGGUACUAUCAUUACUAUCUUUUGGCAUGAACAUGUGUAUCACUACGAUCUAGAUUUAAUAAACCAUUCAUUUUAGGUGUAAGACCAUUGAAGGUAUUAUUCAAAUAAACAGAGUAACCAUUAUUCUCCUUAAAUGAAUAACCGUAUUGCGAUAGACGUAAUCCAAUCAUGUCUAUGCUCAACGCAAACACCAAAUAACAAUUAUUUAGGUUUAACACCAACCUCUUUGGUAGAGGGAGCGUGCGAUGCUUGAUCAUAUCAAGCUUGGAAAAAACUUCCAACACAUAUCGUCAGCUCACCUUUAGCUAGUCUCCGUUUAUUCCGUAGCCUUUUGUUUCGAGUUACUAACACUUAGCAACCGAACCGGUAUCUAAUACCCUGGUGCUACUAGGAGUACUAGCAAAGUACACAUUAACACAAUGUAUAUCCAAUAUACUUCUAUCGACCUUGCCAGCCUUCUUAUCUACCAAGUAUCUAGGGUAAUUCUGCUCUAGUGGUUGUUCCCCUUAUUACAGAAGCACUUAGUCUCGGGUUUGGGUUUUACCUUGGGUUUCUUCACUAGAGCAGCAGCUGAUUUUCCGUUUCAUGAAGUAUCCCUUCUUGCCCUUGCCCUUCUUGAAACUAGUGGUUUCACCAACCAUCAAAAAUUGAUGCUCCUUCUUGAUUUCUACUUUCGCGGUGUCAAACAUCGCGAAUACCUCAAGGAUCAUCAUAUCUAUCCCUGAUAUGUUAUAGUUCAUCACGAAGCUCUAACAGCUUGGUGGCAAUGACUUUGGAGAACCAUCACUGUCUUAUCUGGAAGAUCAACUCCCACUCGAUUCAAAUGAUUGUUGUACUCAGACAAUCUGAGCACAAGCUCAACAAUUGAGCUUUUCUCCUUAGUUUGCAGGUUAAGAAAGUCAUCGGAGGUCUUAUACCUCUUGACAUGGGCACGAGCCUGAAAUCCCAAUUUCAGCCCUCAAAACAUCUCAUAUGUUUCGCGAUGUUUCAAAAACGUCUUUGGUGCCUCAACUCUAAACCGUUUAACUGAACUAUCACGUAGUUAUCAAAACGUGUACGUCAGAUGUUCGCAACAACCACAGACAACGUUCGAGGUUCAGCACACUGAGCGGUGCAUUAAGGACAUAAGCCUUCUAUGAAGCAAUGAGGACAAUCCUCAGUUUACGGACCUAGUCCGCAUAAUUGCUACUAUCAACUUUCAACUAAUUUUUCUCUAGGAACAUAACUAAACAGUAGAACUAUAGCGUGAGCUACGACAUAAUUUGCAAAAACCUUUUGACUAUGUUCAGGAUAAUUAAGUUCAUCUUAUGAACUCCCACUCAGAUAGACAUCCCUCUAGUCAUCUAAGUGAUUACAUGAUCCGAGUCAAACUAGGCCGUGUCCGAUCAUCACGUGAGACGGACUAGUCAUCAUCGGUGAACAUCUUCAUGUUGAUCGUAUCUUCUAUACGACUCAUGUUCGACCUUUCGGUCUCCGUGUUCCGAGGCCAUGUCUGUACAUGCUAGGCUCAUCAAGUUAACCCUAAGUGUUUCGCGUGUGUAAAUCUGUCUUACACCCGUUGUAUGUGAACGUUAGAAUCUAACACCCGAUCAUCACGUGGUGCUUCGAAACACGAACUGUCGCAACGGUGCACAGUUAGGGGAGAACACUUCUUGAAAUUGUUGUUAGGGAUCAUCUUAUUUACUACCGUCGUUCUAAGCAAAUAAGAUGUAUAAACAUGAUAAACAUCACAUGCAAUCAAAUAGUGACAUGAUAUGGCCAUCAUCACUUUGCUCCUUUUGAUCUCCAUCUUCGGGGCUCCUUGAUCAUCAUCGUCACCGACAUGACACCAUGAUCUCCAUCAUCAUGAUCUCCAUCAUCGUGUCUUCAUGAAGUUGCCUUGCCAACUAUUACUUCUACUACUAUGGCUAACGGUUAGCAAUAAAGUAAAGUAAUUACAUGACGUUUAAGUUGACACGCAGGUCACAAAUAAAUAAACACAACUCCUAUGGCUCCUGCCGGUUGUCAUACUCAUCGACAUGCAAGUCGUGAUUCCUAUUACAAGAACAUGAUCAAUCUCAUACAUCACAUAUAUCAUUCAUCACAUCCUUUUUGGCCAUAUCACAUCACAUAGCAUACCCUGCAAAAACAAGUUAGACGUCCUCUAAUUGUUGUUUGCAUGUUUUACGUGGCUGCUAUGGGUUUCUAGCAAGAACGUUUCUUACCUACGCAUGAACCACAACGUGAUAUGCCAAUUGCUAUUUACCCUUCAUAAGGACCCUUUUCAUCGAAUCCGAUCCGACUAAAGUGGGAGAGACAGACACCCGCCAGCCACCUUAUGCAACUAGUGCAUGUUUGUCGGUGGAACCGGUCUCACGUAAGCGUACGUGUAAGGUUGGUCCGGGCAGCUUCAUCCCACGAUGCCGCCGAAUCAAGAUAAGACUAGUAACGGCAAGCAUAUUGAACAAUAUCGACGCCCACAACUACUUUGUGUUCUACUCGUGCAAAGAAUCUACGCAAUAGACCUAGCUCAUGAUGCCACUGUUGGGGAACGUAGCAGAAAUUCAAAAUUUUCCUACGUGUCACCAAGAUCUAUCUAUGGAGAGACUAGCAACGAGGGGAAGGAGAGUGCAUCUACAUACCCUUGUAGAUCGCUAAGCGGAAGCGUUCAAGUGAACGGGGUUGAUGGAGUCGUACUCGUCGUGAUUCAGAUCACCGAUGAUCCUAGUGCCGAACGGACGGCACCUCCGCGUUCAACACACGUACGGAACGGAGACGUCUCCCACGCCUUGAUCCAGCAAGGAGGAGGGAGAGGUUGAUGGAGAUCCAGCAGCACGACGGCGUGGUGGAAGUAGCGGGAUUCCAACAGGGCUUCGCUAAGCGCUGCGGGAGGAGGGAGAUGUAUCACGGGAGGGAGAGGGAGGCGCCAGGCCUUAGGUCUGAUUGCUCCUCCUUUUCCCCACUAUAUAUAGGGCCAAGGGAGAGGGGAAGGGCGCAGCCUUGCCCCUUCCUCCAAGGAAGGGUGCGGCCAAGGGUGGGGAGGAGUCCAUCCUCCCCAAGGCACCUCGGAGGUGCCUUCCCCCUUUAGGACUCUCCCCUCUUUUUCCUCUCUUGGCGCAUGGGCCUCUUGGGGCUGGUGCCCUUGGCCCAUGUAGGCCAAGGCGCACCCCUACAGCCCAUGUGGCCCCCCGGGGCAGGUGGCCCCACCCGGAACCCUUCCGGUGGUCCCGGUACAAUACCGAUGACCCCGAAACUUGUCCCGAUGGCCGAAACAGGACUUCCUAUAUAUAAAUCUUUACCUCCGGACCAUUCCGGAACUCCUCGUGACGUCCGGGAUCUCAUCCGGGACUCCGAACAACUUUCGGGUUACCGCAUACUAAUAUCUCUAUAACCCUAGCGUCACCGAACCUUAAGUGUGUAGACCCUACGGGUUCGGGAGACAUGUAGACAUGACCGAGACGUUCUCCGGUCUAUAACCAACAGCGGGAUGUGGAUACCCAUGUUGGCUCCCACAUGUUCCACGAUGAUCUCAUCGGAUGAACCACGAUGUCAAGGACUCAAUCAAUCCCGUAUACAAUUCCCUUUGUCUAGCGGUAUGGUACUUGCCUGAGAUUCGAUCGUCGGUAUACCGAUACCUUGUUCAAUCUCGUUACCGGCAAGUCUCUUUACUUGUUCCGUAACACAUCAUCCCGUGAUCAACCCCUUGGUCACAUUGUGCACAUUAUGAUGAUGUCCUACCGAGUGGGCCCAGAGAUACCUCUCCGUUUACACAGAGUGACAAAAUCCCAAUCUCGAUUCGUGCCAACCCAACAGACACUUUCAGAGAUACCCGUAGUGUACCUUUAUAGCCACCCAGUUACGUUGUGACGUUUGGCACACCCAAAGCACUCCUACGGUAUCCGGGAGUUGCACAAUCUCAUGGUCUAAGGAAAUGAUACUUGACAUUAGAAAAGCUUUAGCAUACGAACUACAUGAUCUUGUGCUAGGCUUAGGAUUGGGUCUUGUCCAUCACAUCAUUCUCCUAAUGAUGUGAUCCCGUUAUCAACGACAUCCAAUGUCCAUGGUCAGGAAACCGUAACCAUCUAUUGAUUAACGAGCUAGUCAACUAGAGGCUUACUAGGGACAUGGUGUUGUCUAUGUAUCCACAAAUGUAUCUGAGUUUCCUAUCAAUACAAUUCUAGCAUGGAUAAUAAACGAUUAUCAUGAACAAGGAAAUAUAAUAAUAAUCAAUUUAUUAUUGCCUCUAGGGCAUAUUUCCAACAGAUAGUACAUCUUACUGUGAAUUACUAAGAGAAGUGUGCCUUCAUGAUCAUGAAUAGCCAUUAAGAUGCUUAGGGCACUCCAAUUGCAUUGGCUUUUUGUGCGUUCAUAGGUGGUGAACAAAAUAUUAGAGACCAUGAUCUGGUGUAUGUACUAUAUUUAAGUGAUGUUGCACAUUGAUUUAGGGAUUAGGAUUGCAGCUAAAAAUUGUGGUUUGGUUACAAAUAUGAGGAAGUGAGAGAAUGAUAGGAAGAGAAGCCACACAAGAUCUGAGUAUUAUUACAUUGCAAAAUGAAACGAGCUAAGACCUGUAUCUGCACUAACAUAUAACUCCCUAUUAUCUCUUCAUAAUUAUUAUGGCUUGUCAGCAUUUACUUAUGAAAAUGUGCUAAAGAACAAGCACUAGGAGUGCCCUGAUAAACAACUAUUCUAUCCCAUGUAAAAUGUGAGACCUCCAUGCAUGUAUUCAAGUAUUUAGAGUUUAAGUAAUAAUUAUAGCAAUAUCAUAUGGAUUAUGUGGUGCGAAACUAGUAUCGAUAAUUUUUUUAUGAAUCGGAUGAUACUUUUUUUGUAAUGUAACUACAUUAGUGUAAAAUUAAUAAUUAAAGUUGAAUGUCAGGAUACGUAGGAGUCUUACAUUAUAAGAAAAAAGGUGCUACUGUGUAUAUUUAUAGAGCUAGACCUCGCUCCGCUCUGUACCUAUUUAGGGUUCUAUUUUCUCAUUCGCACAUUUUCCAGUUUAAUUUCAACUGUCCCAUGACUAUAGGGUCUCGAAAAUAAUGAUUGCUCUAGAUAAAACUAAGCAAUAAUGCAUUGUGUAACAUGUUUUAUUGUCUUCUCUAAAUAAUUACUUUGACCUUUAAUUUCUAAGAAUCUUCUCAAUAUAACAGAUGAAAGGAACACAGAAUUUUGAAGAUUAGUCAAUGAGUGAAUCGGAAAGAAAGGAGUGUAAAACUUCGAUCAACUAGCUUUCAAACAAAAAAGCCUUUGAUCAACUCAUGGUUGUCAUGUUGCUGUAAGUAAUAUUAACAUAUAAGAGUGUCAUAUCAACUACUCCCUCCAUUCCAAAAUUACUCGUCAUCAUUUUAGUUCAAAUUUGAAUUAAAACUAUGAUGAGUAAUUUGGAACGGAGGGAGUACUGUACAUGCUCUAAUUUUUUUCUUUUAAAUAUGCAUUUCUAAUAUACGGUGUAGAAACAGUUUCAUGCAUUACGCAUCCCUGCAUUUCUAAUGUAUGAUGUUGAAGAAUAGUUUCCAUGCAUUACGCAUCCCUGCAUCUCUGUAUCUUAAUUACCAAUUAAAUAGGACCACGGAAUGGACGAAAUAGAGAGGAACGGCGAGUCAGGUCGUAUACAGCCGGGUAGAAGAUAAGAUUUGCGGUCCUGGAUCUGGAUGUGAUAAGAUUUGCCAUGAUGUAUGUAACACAAAAAAAGAAAACGUUGCCAUGAUAUUUAAGAAGAACUAGGGGUGGGGGGCAUGUUGUGGAUAGUAAAUUUGCCAUGUCCUAGAUAGUAAAUUUGCCAUGAUGUAUGUAAUACAGAAAAAAAAAGUUGUCAUGAUCUGUAAAAAGAACUGGAGCGAGAUAGUUGCCAUGUUGUAGACAACAAAAUUUGCCACAUAUCUAGGAUUUGUAUAAAAUAUGCCAUAUAUCUAGGAUUUGAAUAUAGAUAACACAAAAGAAAGGUUGCCAUGAUUUAUGGAGAACAAAAAUCCUAAAAUUUGGCAUGUGACUAGUAUAUUUUUUUUUAACAAUUGCCAUGAUUUUUUUGUAAGAAAUGCCAUGAUGUUUGUGCUUUUCCUAAUGUAUGAAUAAUUGCAUUCCAUGACAAGAAAAUUUGGCAUGAUGUAAAAAAAGAUUUGACGGACACAAGAAAUAACAAAAAUUGACAUGAUUUUAGAAAACAAAUUCCUGAAUAUUUUAGCCAUGUAACCAUUAGACAUUUGCAAAAAGAUACCAUGUAUGAGAACAAAAUUCCAAAAAAUUCCAUGACACUGUUACAUAUUUGCAAAAAACUUACUAUGUACAAGAGAACGAAAGUUCAUAGACUUUCCAUGUGGCCAUUAUAAACAACUAUAAAAUAUCUCUUCUUUGUUUCCUUGGAGUGCAGGUACUUUUCACCAAUAUUUUCACCACUGUAAGGGCUUCUUUGUGUUUCUCCGAGAAAUUUGGGAUCCUUCAAUAUUUUGGUAGUGUUUUGUGGAAAAAGGGCCACCACCCUCAUUUUUGGGUCGUAUAAGGCCCGGGGGCACAAUGAGAGCUGGGGUUGUGGAAAAACAUUGUAAGUUUAACCUAUAGGAAAAUAUCAGCAACCACAAUACCAAAUCAAUAUCUAUGAUGAAUACAUUUUCAUAAUGUAUUUAAUGGCACUAUAUAGACUGGUAUUUUCUGGGACACCUGGUAUUUUAACAGUUUUGACUUGAGACUAGAUGAAUAUGCCUUGUAAUCCAGAAUGAAGAGCAUAGUUGUUGUAGUAUUUAGUUUGGCCAGCCAAUUUUGAUAAAGAUAGUACAUCUUACUGUGAAUUACUAAGAGAAGUGUGCCUUCAUGAUCAUGAAUAGCCAUUAAGAUGCUUAGGGCACUCCAAUUGCAAUGGCUUUUUGUGCGUUCAUAGGUGGUGAACAAAAUAUUAGAGACCAUGAUCUGGUGUAUGUACUAUAUUUAAGUGAUGUUGCAUUUCAUUGAUUUAGGGAUUAGGAUUGCCGCUAAAAAUUGUGGUCUGGUUACAAAUAUGAGGAAGUGAGAGAAUGAUAGGAAGAGAAGCCACACAAGAUCUGAGUAUUAUUACACUACAAAAUGAAACGAGCUAAGACCUGUAUCUGCACUAACAUAUAACUCCCUAUUAUCUCUUCAUAAUUAUUAUGGCUUGUCAGCAUUUACUUAUGAAAAUGUGCUAAAGAACAAGCACUAGGAGUGCCCUGAUAAACAACUAUUCUAUCCCAUGUAAAAUGUGAGACCUCCAUGCAUGUAUUCAAGUAUUUAGAGUUUAAGUAAUAAUUAUAGCAAUAUCAUAUGGAUUAUGUGGUGCGAAACUGGUAUCGAUAAUUUUUUUAUGAAUCGGAUGAUACUUUUUUUGUAAUGUAACUACAUUAGUGUAAUAUUAAUAAUUAAAGUUGAAUGUCAGGAUACGUAGGAGUCUUACAUUAUAAGAAAAAAGGUGCUACUGUGUAUAUUUAUAGAGCUAGACCUCGCUCCACUCUGUACCCAUUUAGUGUUCUAUUUUCUCAUUCACACAUUUUCUAGUUUAAUUUCAACUGCCCCAUGACUGUAGGGUCUCGAAAAUAAUGAUUGCUCUAGAUAAAACUAAGCAAUAAUGCAUUGUGUAACAUGUUUUAUUGUCUUAUCUAAAUAAUUACUUUGACCUUUAAUUUGUAAGAAUCUUCUCAAUAUAACAGAUGAAAGGAGCACAGAAUUUUGAAGAUUAGUCAAUGAGUGAAUCGGAAAGAAAGGAGUGUAAAACUUCGAUCAACUAGCUGUCAAACAAAAAAAACUUUGAUCAACUCAUGGUCGUCAUGUUACUAUAAGUAAUAUUAACAUAUAAGAGUGUCAUAUCAACUACUCCCUCUGUUCCAAAAUUACUAGUCGUCGUUUUAGUUCAAAUUUGAACUAAAACCAUGACGAGUAAUUUGGAACAGAGGGAGUACUGUACAUGCUCUAAUUUUUUUCAAUAUACGGUGUAGAAAUAGUUUCAUGCAUUACGCAUCCCUGCAUUUCUAAUGUAUGAUGUUGUAGAAUAGUUUCCAUGCAUUACGCAUCCCUGCAUCUCUGUAUCUUAAUUACCAAUUAAAUAGGAGCACAAAAUGGACGAAAUAGAGAGGAACGGCGAGUCAGGUCGUAUACGGCCGGGUAGAAGAUAACAUUUGUGGUCCUGGAUCUGGAUGUGAUAAGAUUUGCCAUGAUGUAUGUAACACACAAAAAAGAAAAUGUUGCCAUGAUAUUUAAAAAGAACUAGGGGCGGGGGGCAUGUUGUGGAUAUUAAAUUUGCCAUGUCCUAGAUAGUAAAUUUGCCAUGAUGUAUGUAACAUAGAAAAAAAAGUUGUCAUGAUCUGUAAAAAGAACUGGAGCGAGAUAGUUGCCAUGUUGUAGACAACAAAAUUUGCCACAUAUCUAGGAUUUGUAUAAAAUAUGCCAUAUAUCUAGGAUUUGAAUAUAGAUAACACAAAAGAAAGGUUGCCAUGAUUUAUGGAGAACAAAAAUCCUAAAAUUUGGCAUGUGACUAGUAUAUUUUUUUAACAAUUGCAAUGAUUUUUAGAUUUUUUGUAAGAAAUGCCACGAUGUUUGUGCUUUUCCUAAUGUAUGAAUAAUUGCAUUCCAUGACAAGAAAAUUUGGCAUGAUGUAAAAAAAGAUUUGACGGACACAAGAAAUAUCAAAAAUUGACAUGAUUUUAGAAAAAAAAUUCUGAAUAUUUUAGCCAUGUAACCAUUACACAUUUGCAAAAAGAUACCAUGUAUGAGAACAAAAUUCCAAAAAAAUCCAUGACACUGUUACAUAUUUGCAAAAAACUUACUAUGUACAAGAGAAUGAAAAUUCAUAGACUUUCCAUGUGGCCAUUAUAAACAGCUAUAAAAUAUCUCUUCUUUGUUUCCUUGGAGUGCAGGUACUUUUCACCAAUAUUUUCGCCACUAUAAGGGCUUCUUUGUGUUUCUCCGAGAAAUUUGGGCUCCUUCACCAUUUUGGCAGUGUUUUGUGGAAAAAGGGCCACCACCCUCAUUUUGGGUCGUAUUAGGCCCGGGGGCACAAUGAGAGCUGGGAUUGUGGAAAAACAUUGUAAGUUUAACCUAUAGGAAAAUAUCAGCAACCACACUACCAAAUCAAAAUCUAUGAUGAAUACAUUUUCAUAAUGUAUUUAAUGGUACUAUAUAGACUGGUAUUUUCUGGGACACCUGGUCUUUUAACAAUUUAGACUUGAGACUAGAUGAAUAUGCCUUAAUCCAGAAUGAAGGGCAUAGUUGUUGUAGUAUUUAGUUUGGCCACCCAAUUUUGAUAAAGAUAGUACAUCUUACUGUGAAUUACUAAGAGAAGUGUGCCUUCAUGAUCAUGAAUAGCCAUUAAGAUGCUUAGGGCACUCCAAUUGCAUUGGCUUUUUGUGCGUUCAUAGGUGGUGAACAAAAUAUUAGAGACCAUGAUCUGCUGUAUGUACUAUAUUUAAGUGAUGUUGCAUUUCAUUGAUUUAGGGAUUAGGAUUGUAGCUAAAAAUUAUGGUCUGGUUACAAAUAUGAGGAAAUGAGAGAAAGAUAGGAAGAGAAGCCACACAAGAUCUGAGUAUUAUUACACUGCAAAAUGAAACGAGCUAAGACCUGUAUCUGCACUAACAUAUAACUCCCUAUUAUCUCUUCAUAAUUAUUAUGGCUUGUCAGCAUUUACUUAUGAAAAUGUGCUAAAGAACAAGCACCAGGAGUGCCCUGAUAAACAACUAUUCUAUCCCAUGUAAAAUGUGAGACCUCCAUGCAUGUAUUCAAGUAUUUAGAGUUUAAGUAAUAACUAUAGCAAUAUCAUAUGGAUUAUGUGGUGCAAAACUGGUAUCGAUAUUCUUUUAUGAAUUGGAUGAUACUUUUUUUGUAAUGUAACUACAUUAGUGUAAAAUUAAUAAUUAAAGUUGAAUGUCAGGAUACGUAGGAGUCUUACAUUAUAAGAAAAAAGGUGCUACUGUGUAUAUUUAUAGAUCCAGACCUCGCUCCGCUCUGUACCUAUUUAGGGUUCUAUUUUCUCAUUCACACAUUUUCCAGUUUAAUUUCAACUGCCCCAUGACUGUAGGGUCUCGAAAAUAAUGAUUGCUCUAGAUAAAACUAAGCAAUAAUGCAUUGUGUAACAUGUUUUAUUGUCUUCUCUAAAUAAUUACUUUGACCUUUAAUUUCUAAGAAUCUUCUCAAUGUAACAGAUGAAAGGAACACAGAAUUUUGAAGAUUAGUCAAUGAGUGAAUCGGAAAGAAAGGAGUGUAAAACUUCAAUCAACUAGCUUUCAAACAAAAAAACUUUGAUCAACUCAUGGUUGUCAUGUUGCUCUAAGUAAUAUUAACAUAUAAGAGUGUCAUAUCAACUACUCCCUCCGUUCCAAAUUACUCGUCGUCCUUUUAGUUCAAAUUUGAACUAAAACCAUGACGAGUAAUUUGAAACAGAGAGAGUACUGUACAUGCUCUAAUUUUUUUCUUUUAAAUAUGCAUUUCUAAUAUACGGUGUAGAAACGGUUUCAUGCAUUACGCAUCCCUGCAUUUCUAAUCUAUGAUGUUGAAGAAUAGUUUCCAUGCAUUACGCAUCCCUGCAUCUCUGUAUCUUAAUUACCAAUUAAAUAGGACCACGGAAUGGACGGAAUAGAGAGGAACGGCGAGUCAGGUCGUAUACGGCCGGGUAGAAGAUAAGAUUUGCGGUCCUGGAUCUGGAUGUGAUAAGAUUUUCUUCGUGCUGGAUCAGAUCAGAUUUUUCUGGAGUUGGAUGUGACCAUAUUGUACAAUGCGUAUGGCAUGCAUGCAUCUCACUAAGCUAGCCAUAGUGUGGUAUCAUGCACUCGAGAAUAGUAAGCACACUGAUGUGGCAGAGAAUUAAAGAAGAGAGAGGAUGAGAGUAACCUAGAUAGAUAUCAUAUCAUAAUAAAUGUUAUGCCAUUUUGUGUCGUACAUUGUCCUAAAUAAAUCAUCUAUGAUACUACCUCCGUCCUGGUUUAUUGAUCCACAUCGUAUUUCAUGCCAAAUUUUUCCAUAAAUUUAACUAACAAAACGUCCACGCAUGCCAUUAAAAUUAUAUCAUUAAAAACUAUAUUUAAAUACGAAUUCAGCGAUAUAAUUUUUGUUGACAUGCAUUAACAUUUUUUAACUUAUUUUUUAGUCAAAAAUUUGACACAAGUUACAAAGGGGACUAAUAAACCUAAAUGGAGGUAGUAAUACUCUAUGAUACCAUGAACUAUGAACUAUAAAAGUAGUAUCAUUUACUAGUACUCCCUCCGUCCCAAAAUUCUUGUCUUAAAUUUGUCUAGAUACAGAUGUAUGUAAGACAAGAAUUUUAGGACGAAGGGAGUAUAUCAUACUAUAGAUGAUACUAAUAUAUGAUACUUCCCACUAUAAGUAGCCUAAUAUUAAUAUGUAAUACUACUCCUUUUUUUUGAGGAUAUGUAAUACUACUCCUAAUCAGACGAGUGACAGUGUGGGCCGCCUAACAGCAGCAAGCAUGUAUGCGUGAACGGUCACGGACAGCCACGGUGGUGACCACGAGGACGUGAUGCCAAACAUGCAUAAUGGUGGGUCACCAACAACAAACACACAUGUGUACAUCUCAGUGAGUGUACGUACACAAUAAUGGUGGCCACGAUCGACAACCAGUGGCCACCAUUAAAUCAGGACGUGGUGCGAAAUAGUACGAUACUGUAGAGAUCUGCACAUACGUCCAUGCAUGUGCACCAUCGUUAUCUAUCUAUCUAUCUAGCGAACCAAGCGCAUGCAUGUCCCGGAGAAGCUACUACUGUACUAUAGAGCACAGCUGUGCUCUCCUGCCAUGGCUCGUAGUGACACAAUCCUGUUCGUCGGCAUGGGCAUUAGGGCAUCUCCAGCCUGUUGGCCCCCCACGAGGGGCAAAAAAUCGCCCGCUGGGGGCGCACCGGCGCUAAACCACGCACGGGGGGCGUGAUGCCCCCCAGUCGCGGCGCCCACGGUUAGUCGAAAAAGUUAAAUACGGCGCAAAAACGACUCAAAUUUAACGCAAACAUCGGCGAGUUCGUUCAAACUUAAACAUAUUUUACAAAAAAGAAAAAAAACUACCCCCGCCGUCUCGCUCGUCGCCCGGCCACGUGGUUCUACAUGCCGAGGAGGCUGUAGAACCACGUGUAGUCACCGCCGUCGUCGUCAUCGUCGUCCUCGUCGUCGCCGCCCCUGCCUCCGCCUCCGCCGUCCCUGUUGCAUCCCUCCCCCGGUUGGCGCGGCGGGUUGGACGGUCCGGGGGCGUCGUCGUCGUCGCUGUCGAGGACCACGACGUCGUGCUCGUCCUCGCGCCCACGCUUGCGGGCGGCGAUCUCCUCCAGGGCGACCAUCUCGUCGCGGAGAUAGUCGUCCCGCUCCCACCGCAUGGCGUCCUCGUCGGAGAAGCCGCGCCGGGCUAUCUCCUUGUACUCUGCGGGGAGGCCGGGCUCCGGCUUGGGCUCGACGAGGACGAAGCGGCCGGUGGGUGGAGAGGCGUUGGCGCCGAUGCGGACGCCGGAGCUGCGGGUGCGUGCACUGACCGGUGUGUCCUGGGGCUCCGGCUUGACGGGGCGGAGGCAGGGCGAGCCGCCGGACGAGGAGGAGGACCCCCCGGUCUCCAUGCGCCUCGGGGUCCAGGAGCUUCCCCGGCGGCGUGACAAGGAAGGGGGGGCGGGGUACUCGAGGCGCGGCGUGUUGCCGCCCUCGAUGUACUCGAGGACGGCCUCCAACGUGCGCCCGGGCACGCCCCACCACAGACGCCGGCCGGCGGUGUUGAGCCUGCCGGAGGGCACGACGCCGUUGGUGGCCUCGAGUUGCUGGGCAUGACGGCGGCGGAAGUAGGUUCCCAGAGCGGGCUGUCGGGGACGUACCGUGGCCCCUCCCUCGCCGCACGCGGCAGGUUCGAGCGGAUGCAUGCGAUCUCCGCACGCCGCGCCGCGCCGGUGGGUACCGGGGGCACCGGCACGCCGCCCGCGCUGAUCCUCCACGCCCCGGGCACCCGCAUGUCCGGCGGGACCGGGUACUCGGCCUCGUAAAGGAGGCGAGCCUCGUCUUCAUGAAGAUGGCGGCGGCCGAAGCCGUUCGCCGCCGCGCCGUCGCCUGGGAAGCGCUCGGCCAUGGGUGUGAACUGGAGACGGCGAAAGAGAGGAGAGGAGAGGGAGGAACGACGGCGGCGGGAGAGUGUGAGUCGCCGAGUGCGCCGGGGCGCUUCAUAUAUAGGCCGAGGCGCGUGUGCCACCGUGCGUACGCGUGGCGGGCGAGGGAGGGCGAGGGACGCGCGUCGUCCGGUCUUCACUGCGCCGCCCGUGAGGCAUCAAUGGUGCAGGCUGACCGGCGCGGCAGCGCGGCAGCUUUGGCAUUGAUUCGUCACGGGAAACGAGGCGAUGAGGACGACGAAGGGCCGAGAAGAGAGCCAUGUCGCUGACGCGGCGGGCCCGCAGCUUUUUCGCGCCAAAACAGUUCGCCCGGCGCCCCCGGGCGCCCCCCAGCGCGCCGGGUUCGGGCUGGGUCCGCCGGCGCUGUUUUCGGCCCAAGCCGGCGAAAAUCGGGCUCCUGGGACGCGAUUGGGCCAUUUUUUUGGUGCCGGCACGAAAAAAACGUCUGAGGAGGCCUUUCUGGAGGCGCGGCUGGAGAUGCCUUUAUAGGUGCAUGUGCAUGCAUCCAAGUCUCGAAGUCGUGACUCUCUCAACAACUUCCUUAAAUUCCAUCCGUGGUUGCUGGCAAGAGCUCUGCUUAGAUCGGAUCUAAACAGUGAAACAAUUGACACGUCCCACUGUCACGAAAUUAAUAGGAUAGACAAUGCAUCAGAAGGCAUGAUGUCUCUAUUUCCAAAUUAAAAGAAUAACAAUUGUUGUUAUUUUCUUCUAUAUAUGUAUUAGGUGAAAAAAACUUUUUGACUGAAUUGAUCUACAUGCUGAUAUGAUUAAUAUGUAUACUCUCUCCAUUUCUAAAUAUAGAGUCUUUUAGAGAUUCCAAAGCAAACUACAUACAAAGUAAAAUGACUGAAUCUAUACUAUAAAAUAUACUCUCUUCGUUUUUAUUUACUCUGCAUAUUAGAAUUAACUGAAGUCAAACUUCUUAAAGUUUGACCAAAUUUAUAGAAAAGAAUAUAAAUAGAUAUCAUAACAAAAUAUAUGAUGUGAAAGUACAUUCAAUAAUGAAUCUAAUGGUAUUGAGUUGUUAUUGUAUAUGUUAAUAUUUUUGUCUAUAAAUUUAGUCAAAGUUACAAAGCUUGAAUUUGACCAAAGCUAAUACGUGCAGUAAAUUAAAACGAAGGAAAUAUCUAUAUACAUCUACAUGUAAUCUAUAUUAAAAUCUCUAAAAGAUCUAAUAUUUAUAUUUAGAAACGGAGGCAGGGAGUAUGAAGCAUCCAUUCAGUGUGAGUUCAUGAGGCGAGGGGCUGGCUCGUUCUUACUGUUGACAAUUCUCUAGUGGAUAUACAUCCACACAGACGCAUGUACUCCAUUCAGGCAUAGUACUCCCUCCGUUUCAUAAUGUAGUGCCUAUAGAUUUUUUGAAAAGUCAAACUUUACAAACUUUGACCAAGUUUAUGAAGAAAAACAUUUACAUUUAAAAUGCUAAACAUAUAUUAUUAGAUUCAUCUUAAGAUGUAUUUUUAUAUUUUAUAUAUUUGACAUUGUAUAUAUAUAUAAAUAGUUUUUUUUAUAAACUUGACCAAAGUUUGACUUUAUAAAAAAAUCUAUAGAUACUACAUUAUGGAACGGAGGGAGUAUUGGGCAGCCCAGCCUGGUUUUCCCAAUUGUUAGACUGAAAUCAGCUCCGUGGGAUGGGCGCCCACUUUUUAGAUAUUUCGAAGCGUAUGAGUAGUUUGCCAUAAUUUAGAAAAAUGGUAGCAUGUCGCAUCAAGAGAUUGCUCAUUGGAUACAAGAUAAGACCUGCAUGCCGAGUCAUGGUGAGUCAGAUCGGGUCCAAUCUAAUCGUCCUUACUUGCAAGGCAUGGGCAUGCAUAUCAAUGAAUGUGGUAGCUGUGCGUGCACGUACACGUACUACUCCAUUAUUGAUCCCACUUUGAAUUAUUGAUUGCCAUAUGUCAUCCAUUAAGGCGCGACAUCGAACCGCAGUACUUUCUCAGUCCGAGUUUAAUAGGCAUAAAGACAAUUUCUUUUGGAUCAAGACACAUAGUAAUUUGCUCAUGUUAGUUCUUUUAUUUCACUCCUAAUGCACUCUCACAUUCAUGCAGCUAAUUAAAAAGAAUGCAUGCAGCGUAUUAAUUUCCCAAUCAUGGCACCAAACAAUAAUGGCUUUCAAUGCAACCAAUGAAGUGAUUGCAUGUAUGCACCUUUUCAAAGCGAUGCCUUAUAAAAAGGGACAUGCUUGUUUUGCUGUGAGGCCCAAUAAACCCGGACGGAGGAAGUACAUAGGUCAGUCCUGGUUUUUAUGUCCCUAUUAUAUUUUGUGCCAAAUUUUGACCAUAGAUUUAACUAAUAAAAUGUUCAUGUAUGUCAUAAAAAAUUAUAUAAUUAGAAACUAUAUUUAAGUACAAAUUCAACGAUAUAUUUUUGUUGACAUGCAUUAACAUUUUAUAAAUUAAAUAUUUGAUCAAAAUUUGGCAUAAAUUAUAAAAGGGACCACUAAAUCAGGACGGAGGCAGUAAAACCUUAAAGAUUAAAAGGGCUUAUAUUUCUUUAUAGAGGAAGUAGCAAAUUACUCUACACAAAAUAAUGGUAUAUCUGCCGAAAACCGGAGCAGUAGUAUACGUUCUAGAAGGGACUAUGUGUGUGGGGACUGGGGACUGGGGUCAAGUAUAACUAUUGUCAUUAUCAGCCGAAAGCAUGUGUUUUAUUAGGAAACUCUAAGUUAAAAGCGUACACACAGCCGCGUUUCCGCGGAUCCCGCUUGCGUCUCUGUGGUGCUACGGUAUUAUCGCUACAGGAGGCUACAAGACAAAUGCAUGGAUCACAUCAUGUGCUGCUGGUUUAUACCCAGCUUCGUGCGAUAAAUGACCGCUCACGUGGGAUGCAUGCAUGAAAAGGAAAAGAAGAACCGAGCAACCCGCUGCAUGCGCUAAUCUGGUUGGAUACAUGUCAGAGCAUCUACAACCGGACGCCCUCAAAUAAUGAUCACUCAUAUACCCGUGGACACGCCAGGUUAGUGACCGGACAGGAGAGAAGAAAAAAGGGACGACUCCACGUAUCGUCCCAUAUGUUCGGGCUGUCCGCGAACCGCAUAUUGCGGCCAAAUGUCGGGAGGAUAUGAGGGCUGAUGGAGGCGCCCCUGUGUGCUCGGUCGAUCCGCCACGUAGGUCGCGACCGCACCCCGAACCACAUUUUUUCUUUCUUUAUUCAUUCUUUUCAUUCUCUUUCUUCAUCUCCAUCAAUCACAGGCAAGUGAUCAAACAUACAAGGGAAAAAAAAGAGAAGUGUGACCGCACGGACGAACAAAUAGGGUUCAAAACGGACAUGUCCGACCACUGGCCGGGUGCGUUCGCGGGCUUUUGAGAGGUUAAAUUUGGGCAGUCCGGCUGUAGAUUCUCUUAGCAGCGUUAAUAUCUCGUGUUGAUCCUUAGUUUUGGCUAAGGGUGUGGUGAGGUCCAGUCUACUAUUAUUUAAUUAAUUCUUGGUCAGUGUUAUAAGAUAAUUAAAAACACUAAAAAUCAAAUUUUGCACGGUUAAUGUAAGAUAUCACGAAUAGAGCAUUGACUGAGACUUCGUUAAGUUUGGUCCGACUAAGAUUUAACUAAGUCUCGGUCAAGUGACAUAACAUGUAAGAAAAUAAAAGAAAAAAACGAAAAUA
RNAcentral lists this long non-coding RNA (33526 nucleotides) under Triticum aestivum (bread wheat). RNAcentral describes it as "long non-coding RNA (TAES_LNC002583)". The record is from RNAcentral. Lineage: Eukaryota; Viridiplantae; Streptophyta; Magnoliopsida; Poales; Poaceae.